Non-coding RNA from Heterocephalus glaber (naked mole-rat), 564 nucleotides. The record is from RefSeq and is a predicted model, not a curated record. NCBI's taxonomy places the organism in Eukaryota, Metazoa, Chordata, Mammalia, Rodentia, Bathyergidae.
CCCAGUCCCAGUCCCUGAUCAGGGAAAGCAGGGAGAAUGGAUAAGCACACCUGGACCUCUGUAAUGAUUCCUAAGUACCUUUCCUGCCAUCCUGUCAGAGGGAACAUCCCAAGAUACAGCUUAGGGAGGUCUCUCAUCAGAACCUUCAGUGGCUCCCACUGCUGGGAGACAAAUUGAACUCUGGGUGUCAACCUUCCUAUUCUACCCCAUGUCCUAUAUCCCCCUCCCCAAAAGUCCUCAGCACAGCCCUCUGGCCAUGUGCUUUUCCCAACCACAAAGCUCCUUAAUCUGUUUUCCUAAUAAAAGUGCAAUGGACCCUGGCUCCCCACUGUUAGCAGUGCCAAGAAUUGGCAGAAUGUUCAAAAUUACUUCUCUUUUAAGGGUUCAGACGUUGUGGAUCACCACCACAGGCCCCUCUAUGACCGACCACCCUGUCACAUCCCAGAGAGGGUUGUAGAGAUUAAGGGUCAAGACGGAUGAAAAGAGUUGAGCACAGAGACUGUAUGGUGCCCAGUGCAUGUGGACUAGAAUACCAGUUUAUAAUCAUCUUCCUUUUCUCCAACC